Molecule: ribosomal RNA, 256 nt
Filed under: uncultured bacterium
Lineage: Bacteria
Description: partial 16S ribosomal RNA
Rfam family: Bacterial small subunit ribosomal RNA
Source: RNAcentral
UACGGAGGGUGCAAGCGUUGCUCGGAAUUACUGGGCGUAAAGGGUGUGUAGGCGGAUACUUAAGUCGGGGGGUGAAAGCCCAGGGCUCAACCCUGGAAUAGCCUUCGAUACUGGGUAUCUUGAGUUCGGGAGAGGUAAGUGGAACUCCGAGUGUAGAGGUGAAAUUCGUAGAUAUUCGGAAGAACACCAGUGGCGAAGGCGACUUACUGGCCCGAUACUGACGCUGAAACACGAAAAGCGUGGGGGAGCAAACAGG